Molecule: long non-coding RNA, 216 nt
Filed under: Elaeis guineensis (African oil palm)
Lineage: Eukaryota; Viridiplantae; Streptophyta; Magnoliopsida; Arecales; Arecaceae
Description: long non-coding RNA (EGUI_LNC011901)
Source: RNAcentral
CCACCUGUGGAAUGGAUGCAAGAUAGUGUGCAUAUUCUACUUCUUAUUGUCAUGCCAUGUCUCAUUGCCAGUAUUAAUGGAUAUCUUUCAGUUCUAAGGAUGAAAGAAAAGUAGAACUGAUGUUAUUCAACAAAAGGAAAAAUGUGGAUCUAAUGUUAUUCAACAAAAAGAAAAAUGUGGAUCUGAUGUUGACUGGACCAUUUCAUGGGCCCAUGC